RNAcentral lists this long non-coding RNA (2900 nucleotides) under Daucus carota (carrot). RNAcentral describes it as "long non-coding RNA (DCAR_LNC001755)". The record is from RNAcentral. Lineage: Eukaryota; Viridiplantae; Streptophyta; Magnoliopsida; Apiales; Apiaceae.
UGCACUCAAACAUUCGAAUCUACGCUGAUGUGUCAUUUAAGUUCCAAUGUGGAAUAGCAAUAUUGUGUCACACAACCAUAAACAUGGGGAUUUCCACGCCCUCCAGACAUUCACACACGCUCUUCAUCUGCCAAACCUAAGCAAACAAUGUUCCAACACUCGCAGACACCUUUUUUGAAUCUACAUAUACAGCGUCCAUCAGUUCCAAAAUAUUCAAUCUCAAUCAACUUCAUCGAAGCCUUAGCUUAACAGUGAUCUUGAUCCACUCAUCAUAUCGAAAAUGGCUCAACUUUCCAAGGUCUCUGGUUUGUGGUGCAAGAUGCACAGAGAAGGCGACGAUGAUGAUGCAUAUACUUAUGUCCCAUGUGUACGAGGUGGUGGCGAUGAUGAUGACGGAGAUUAUGAUUAUGCUCCUGCUGCAUCUGAGGGCGACGAUGAUGACGAUGGUGGUUAUGAUUAUGCUCCUGCUGCUUAAGUACUAAGGGAAGAGUAGUAUCUAACAAAUUGUAUCGGCAUGCAAAUUGGAUUUUAUCUAAUUUUUUAACAUAGGUUUAUGUUGACUCAUGUCUUGGGUGGUGUAUCCGAUUAAUAUAUGACUAGCUCUCCAGAGUUUUUCAACAGAGAAAGUGUUUGUAUGGCGUUUUGUUGGACUUUCAGCAUUUUAUAAUGAAAUAUUAUUCAAUCUUUCUAUGUUUUUAUAUGGAGUAUUAUGGUGGUAUAAGUUAACUGAUUCUUUUACGGACUAUAAAAGACAAGCAAUAGUAAUUAAGCAUCUAGUUUGACAUCUACAUCCUCCAACAUUCAUGGACUCUGCGAAUGAGUUGUUAAGCCAAAUGGAAGCAGUGUAAAAUAAUUACGUACCCGAAUUGUACGAUUUAAUUGAGAUAGAAAGUGAACCUAAUGAUGAUAAGUUAGUAGAGUAAUGGCUGUUUUUAAUCUAGUGAUAGCUAGGUGCCCAAGUAGAGUAAUGGCCAUAUGUAAUCAGUCACUAGCUUAAGCAAACAAAUGAAGCUUUUCAUUUCGAAAUAACAAUUCUACUAAAUAGUAAUUACAGCAAAUGCAGAGAGACGCCAUGAAGAGGUUAUACAUAAUUCGACACUUCACUACCUAGCUAUAGUCCUGUGUUAGUGCAGACGGCAGUUAUAACCUAUAAUACAUCUUCUUGAUAUCAGAUGUAAACUAGCUAAUGUAAAUUAUGCGUGCGUUCAUCUGCCUCAGAUCUUUUUACAUCUACAGUUCGUCGUGUGUGCGUGUGGAGUAAUACACAGAGUGAGGCGAUCUUUAUUUGGGCUUCUGAUCAUUUCUUGGAUGCUGAGAUGUUUGACAGUAAUUAUCAUCAAGCUAAGUUGUAUGACUGCAAAUCUGCAAACUAAUUACUCUAUAAAUAUGUUUACAGUAUCUUACUAACAUAGUAGAGCCAUCCUGCAGCGGCUAAUUAAAACAGUUUCUGACUAAGCUAAAAAAAUUUUUGUUUGUGUGUCAAGUCAGAAAAUGAUGUGAAGUUCUCACGAGUUGGUUUGAGAUACUUUUUUGGUGGCUUAUUUUUUAAUUUCUGAUUAAAGUCAACCAUAAGUAAGUUAUUUAUAAGUGACUUUUAUAAUUAUUACUAUAUUUUUAAUAAUCCAUAAGUCAGUAUUAAAUCAAAAUUAUUCAAACAAACAUUUUAAUCUCCAAAUUAUCACAUUAAGUCACAUUAAUGAGUCAUAAUUUUAAACUUAGCAAAAAACGGAGUCUACAACAUGCGCUGAUAAUCAUAUACAAAGAUUUAUGUUAGAAUCAUAUAAAAUGCAAGUCAACCGAGUAGAUACAUGACAAAGUUCAGUUGACAGACACAAGUUAUUUUUAAACCAAAAAGUAGCAAGUUUUCUGCACCAGACCUCACUGGUUUUCAGGCAGUAGUCAGUAAUCACCUGAAUUUCCACUUCUCCGGCAUUUCAUGAAGCAAUUUCAAUUACAAGAACUGAAGUUAUUGCAUUUUCAACUUAAUCAAUGUUAACUGCAGCCGUUUUUACCAAGUCAGUUUGGCCCAUGACCCCAUGAGGCGACAUUUCAACAUUGAUCAGCGCGACCCGCAGCCGAAAGAGAAAAACGAUACCUCUCCACUAGCCACACAAAAACACACUUAAUUGCACUCAGACAUUCGAAUCUACGCUGAUGUGUCAUUUAUAUUCCAAUGUGGAAUAGCAAUAUUGUGUCACACAACCAUUCGCAUGGGGACUUCCACGCCCUACACACGCUCAUCGUCUGCCAAACCUAAGCAAAUAAUGUUUGAGCACUCGCACAGUCUCAGACACCCUUUUCUGCAUCUACAUAUACAGCGUCAAUCAGGGAAAAAAUAUUCAGACUCAAUCAAGUUCAUCGAAGCCUUAGCUUGCCAGCUGUGUUCUUGAUCCACUCCUCUAAGAGAUCAUCAUAUCGAAAAUGGCUCUCCUUUCCCAGGCCUCUGGUUUGUGGUGCAAGAUGCACAGAGAAGGUGACGAUGAUGAUGCAUAUACGAUGAUGAUGCAUAUACUUAUGUCCCGUGUGUACAAGGUCGUGACGGAGAUUAUGAUUAUGCUCCUGCUGCAUCUGAGGGCGACGAUGAUGAUGAUGGUGGUUAUGAUUAUGCUCCUGCUGCAUAAGUACUAAGGAAAGAGUAGUAUCUAACAAAUUGUAUCGGCAUGCAAAAUGUAUUCUAUCUAAUUUUAUAUGUUGGGAUAAGAGAUUAGAGUAAUAUUUUCGCUUAAUACAUAGGUUUAUGUUGACUCAGGUCUUGGGUCGUGAAUCCGAUUAAUAUAUGACUAGCUCUCCGGAGUUUUCGAACAGAGAAAGUGUUUGUAUGGCGUUUUGUUGGACUUUCAGCAUAUUAUAAUGAGAUAUUAUGCAAUCUUUCUAUGUUUUUAUAUGGAGUGUUAUGGUAG